This 459-nucleotide ribosomal RNA is filed under the name uncultured bacterium. Its description in RNAcentral is "partial 16S ribosomal RNA". It matches the Rfam family "Bacterial small subunit ribosomal RNA", at positions 339 to 795 of the family's 1533-position model. The record is from RNAcentral.
CUACGGGAUGCUGCAGUAAGGAAUAUUGCGCAAUGGAGGCAACUCUGACGCAGCCAUGCCGCGUGCAGGAAGAAGGCCUUAUGGUUCGUAAACUGCUUUUAUUUAGGAAUAAACCCCCGAACGUGUUCGGGGCUGAAGGUACUAAACGAAUAAGCACCGGCUAACUCCGUGCCAACAGCCGCGGUAAUACGGAGGGUGCAAGCGUUAUCCGGAGUUAUUGGGUGUAAAGGGUGCGCAGGCGGGCUAUUAAGUCAGUGGUGAAAUCCCGGGGCUCAACUCCGGAACUGCCAUUGAUACUGAUAGUCUUGAGUUUGGUUGAAGUGGGCGGAAUGUAGCAUGUAGCGGUGAAAUGCAUAGAUAUGCUACAGAACACCAAUCGCGAAGGCAGCUCACUAAGCCAAAACUGACGCUCAUGCACGAAAGCGUGGGGAUCAAACAGGAUUAGAUACCCCGGUAGUC